Stomoxys calcitrans (stable fly) is the source of this 426-nucleotide long non-coding RNA. RefSeq lists it as uncharacterized. Lineage: Eukaryota; Metazoa; Arthropoda; Insecta; Diptera; Muscidae. The transcript is spliced from 4 exons. The record is from RefSeq and is a predicted model, not a curated record.
GUUGUUGCUGGGUUUUUGCAUAUUUUCACUGACAUUCGAAAUAAUAAAUCCCACCUUUCGCAUAACGGGGAAUUUUAAUAAAGAUUUCGUUAAAGGACGUUAUAUCCCAUACUUGGUAGCAUCAGCGGGUAUAAUAGCCACAAUUUUGGAAAUUUUUGGUAUUGUUAAGAGGCGAUUUAACUACUUUGUACCCAUUUUGGUCACCCUAUUGAUUGGCGCUGGUUUUGGAGGAUUCAUUAUAUUUUUCUUGUUAGAUGGCGGUAUCUUAACUUUUUGUUUUUAUGGAAUCAACUCUGCUGCUUUCCUGUUUUUGGUUUUUGACCCCAUAAUUGCCGUCAUAAAAGAGAUACAAUUGGAAUUUGCUGCCAAAAGACAAGAAAUUGAACGAGUUUAUGGUUUUUAAAUUUCACAUUUACUUUCAAGACA